Arachis ipaensis is the source of this 1869-nucleotide non-coding RNA. NCBI's taxonomy places the organism in Eukaryota, Viridiplantae, Streptophyta, Magnoliopsida, Fabales, Fabaceae. The record is from RefSeq and is a predicted model, not a curated record.
UCUCAUUAGACUAAAUAAUUAACCUUUCCAGUGACCUCAUAUUACACCAUAUGUUAAUAAUGCUAUUGAUAAAUCAAAUCAUAUUCAUGCUUAGCUACUAACACCUAUGCUACCAGAGAAGUCACCUAUUUAUGAUCAACUAUUUGUAAUUAUAUGAAAGCUUUAAAACGUGAUCACAAAUUAUGCAACAUAAUCAAAACGUGCUGUCAUACUUUGUUACUUGUUUUCUAAGUAUAAUGAUAUUGUUAAUCAAGCAUACAUAUUAGGUUAUAUAAGAAGAGUAGUUAGCUAUGUAGCUCAGUGCUAGGAGUAGAAAAAGAAUUCACCAAAAUGGAACAGUCUGGGUAUGGAGGUAUCGCAAAGAUAAAAGAAUGGAAUGGCUGUAAUAGGUAUCUCUCUCUUUCAUUUAGAAGAAAAAAGAAAAGAAAAGAAAAGAUAGGGAUGCUAAUGCUAUUAUAAAUAACUGGUGUAGGAACAAUGACGCAAGCUUAUGAUUCGGAGAGAAGUACUCCAUAUCUAACUCCGAUGACCCAUCUAACUCCGAUGACCCCCCUAAUCGCUGUAAGUUGCCUUUCGUAAUUAUUUCAUGUAAAUUUUUCUAGAGAGAAAAUACUUGUUUGUUUUACAAGAAAUAUUCUGAAUAUAGGUUGGAGCAAUAUUUUUUGCGUUCAUAAAAUUACUUCAUAUAAUUACUCCAUUCUUUUUGCAACAAUCUUCUCAGUAUGGGUUCCGUUUAUCAAGCAUCAGCUUAUAUAUUUGGGAAUGUUGGUGCAUCAUCAAGAGAAUGGAUCCAAGGAUGCGAGGUUUCAUUCUACUGGUUUUUGCAGUAGUUAUGUUGGAACCAUUGCAUUUUAUUAGCCUUCCUGAAUUUGACAAAAAUAAUGUUCUCAAUUUUCAGGAAGGUUUUGCUAUGUCUUUUACUUCGAUGGUACUAAUUUCUGCAGUGUUUUGGAGCUUUAUUAUAAAUUUAAUUUUAAUAAAACGAAUUUAUCCUAUGCUCCAAUGUUUGGAGCUAAUAUUUUGGGUAUUAGCCCCUUUGAAUGUAAUUUCUGAUUUGGUACAUAGAGCUGAGAAAAGUUGGGUAACAGUGAAUUCGUAUACCAUACCAAUGUUAUGGUUUACGAUCUUAGGAGGCGUUUUGAUAGCUCUAAUGUUAGGUUUUAUAGUAUUUUUAAUCUCUUUUUUAUUAUGGUUAUAUAACAAAAGGAAGGGAUUAGCUUUUCAAAGUGUUAAUUUUAUCGAGGCUAGUAUAGGUGUGUAAAUAUAUGUAUACAAUUGUAAUUUAAUGUAAUUUACUAAUGAAGUAUUUAAUUAAUUAAUUAUUUUUGUUUAUUUUAAUUAAUUAAUCAUUAUGCAAUUGCUUGCUUAGAAACUGACUUGCCCUAAUGCAGCAAAUCCUUCCCAAUAUUUUUAGCUAUCUCCUUGUUACUUUCAUAAUUCAUACAUUUAAUUUGUUAUUUUGCAUGCAAAAUCUUCCUUGUAAGCAACUACAACUUAGAGCUGGAUAUUGCAUCUAGAACUGGAUCAGAUGCUUUGGCUCGCCUCUGCAUGAGGCUCUGGUACAUGAAAGUAUUUUGUGAUGCCAAAAUGAAAAGAACUCCAUGUGAUCAACCCUUUUUAGUUUGGCAUAUCUUUGGCCUAUAGUGACCUUACCCUCUAGAUCUUGUAAUCUUUUCCUCCAUGGAAAUUGCUUCAAUUUUUUCAAUUUUUAGAUUUGCUAAAUAUUUAUUAUUAUAAAAAGUAUUAUUCUUGUAGAGUGGUUUGUGAGAGUUGAAAUUCGAGGUAGGUUGAAGCAUUUAGAACUGAGUUCCUGUAAGCUCUCUCUGACUUGACUUCCACUCAGUUUACAUUUACAUUGUGUUUUAUGUG